GAUGAACGCUGGCGGCGUGCCUAAUACAUGCAAGUCGAGCGAACAGACGAGGAGCUUGCUCCUCUGACGUUAGCGGCGGACGGGUGAGUAACACGUGGAUAACCUACCUAUAAGACUGGGAUAACUUCGGGAAACCGGAGCUAAUACCGGAUAAUAUAUUGAACCGCAUGGUUCAAUAGUGAAAGACGGUUUUGCUGUCACUUAUAGAUGGAUCCGCGCCGCAUUAGCUAGUUGGUAAGGUAACGGCUUACCAAGGCGACGAUGCGUAGCCGACCGGAGAGGGUGAUCGGCCACACUGGAACUGAGACACGGUCCAGGCUCCUGCGGGAGGCAGCAGUAGGGAAUCUUCCGCAAAGGGCGGAAGCCUGGCGGAGCAACGCCGCGUGAGUGAUGAAGGUCUUCGGAUCGUAAAACUCUGUUAUUAGGGAAGAACAAAUGUGUAAGUAACUAUGCACGUCUUGACGGUACCUAAUCAGAAAGCCACGGCUAACUACGUG
RNAcentral lists this ribosomal RNA (497 nucleotides) under uncultured bacterium. RNAcentral's name for it is "partial 16S ribosomal RNA". It matches the Rfam family "Bacterial small subunit ribosomal RNA", at positions 28 to 507 of the family's 1533-position model. The record is from RNAcentral.